Molecule: long non-coding RNA, 713 nt
Organism: Helianthus annuus (common sunflower)
Lineage: Eukaryota; Viridiplantae; Streptophyta; Magnoliopsida; Asterales; Asteraceae
Exons: 6
Source: RefSeq, a predicted model, not a curated record
AUAUUGGUUUUUCCUAGGAACCCUUGAUUGUGAGACAAUGUGACCAUCGGUUUCUAAGGUUUUUGUAUUGAUUCUUGAAGGAGUCAUCGGAACUGGCGGCACUUGAAGCAUCCAAAGGAUUCGAGAGACGAUAAUGUUCCCUGUUUCAAAUCUUUUUGAGGUGCUCAGUUUUUCUGUCGACAAGGUGGUUGUGGCGUUUGAUUUAUAUGGUUAGGGUUUUCCAGAAUUGGGCUGACGGGAGAUCCGGGCACUCCAAAUAAGUGAGACAGGCAAGAGUGAGCUACUUCCGUACCAGCUUGAAGGAUUGAAUUUCUUACGUUUCUCAUGGUCUAAAGUCUAAACAAACACAUGUGAUACUUGCAGACGAAAUGGGUCUUGGGAAACGAUACAAAGUAUUGCUUUUUUGGCAUCGUUGUCUAAAGAGAAUGUCUCCCCUCAUUUAGUAGCACCGCUUUCUACAUUAAGGAAUUGGGAACAUUAAUUUGCUAUAUGGGCUGCUAAUAUGAAUGUUUCGCAUCUUCUCCACACGAAGAAGAAACAACCUUCACUUUCAGACGUUAUUGCGGUAAUUAUAUUCCAGUUUUCUCUUAUUACUUCAUAUUGCAGUUUUAUUCGCUGUUAAAAAGUUGUGUUUUUCAAGCAAACAACAAAGAAAUAGGAUGUUUUGUUUACGGUGCUACAGUUUUGAAGAAUAUAACAACAGCUAUUUGAAG